GAUGAUGACUAGAUCUUGGUCCACUAUUUUCUUUCUCUUGAAAAAAGAAAAGAAAUAAGAAGAAAAAGACUCAUUCUAUCUCCACUUUCUCUCUUUAAGAAGAUCUAUGGACCCCCUAUCGAGUCAUGCCUUCCUCUUCUAGGGACUCAAGUUGACCCUCAGCAAGAAAACUCCUAAACUGCCUUGGUGCUCAAUCAGCCUAUUGAAUCGACCACUCGAUCAAUAGUCUUUUUUACUUAUGAUUUAAUUCUAUUGAAUUCAUGAAAUAGAAAUUGAUCAUAUUUUUGAUAUUUUAAAUAGGAUUAACAAAUUCGCCUAACAAAGUUCGAAGAUCUAAGAUGAAUGAGAUAAGUGAAUUUUAUACUUCUUAUUUAUUUUUAAAUUAUCAUAUUUUCUAUGCAUAUGAU
RNAcentral lists this long non-coding RNA (407 nucleotides) under Elaeis guineensis (African oil palm). RNAcentral's name for it is "long non-coding RNA (EGUI_LNC078909)". The record is from RNAcentral. Lineage: Eukaryota; Viridiplantae; Streptophyta; Magnoliopsida; Arecales; Arecaceae.